UGAAUACGAGACGCUAAGGCGUCGAAGUAGUGUAUGUCAUACUUCCAAGAAAAGCUUGCACUGUCAUAGAUAAAAAACGCCUGUACCAUAACCGACACAGGUGGGUAGGUAGAGUAUACUAAGGGGCGCGAGAUAACUCUCUCUAAGGAACUCGGCAAAAUAACUCCGUAACUUCGGGAGAAGGAGUGCCUUAUUCGUAAGGUUGCAAUAACAAGAUCCAAGCAACUGUUUAUCAAAAACACAGGUCUCCGCUAAGUCGUAAGACGAUGUAUGGGGGCUGACGCCUGCCCAGUGCCAGAAGGUUAAAGAAGUUGGUUAGCAAUUGCGAAGCUGAUAACUGAAGCCCUGGUGAACGGCGGCCGUAACGAUAACGGUCCUAAGGUAGCGAAAUUCCUUGUCGGGUAAGUUCCGACCCGCACGAAAGGCGUAAUGAUUUGGAUACUGUCUCGGAGAGGGGCUCGGUGAAAUAGACUUGUCUGUGAAGAUGCGGACUACCUGCACCAGGACAGAAAGACCCUAUGAAGCUUUACUGUAACUUGAAAUUGAAAUUGGACUUUAUUCGCGCAGUAUAGGUGGGAGGCGUUGAUUAUAAUCUUGUGGGAUUAUUGGAGCCAUCAGUGAGAUACCACUCUUGUAAUGUUAGAUUUCUAACUUUGAAUCAUUAUCUGGUCAAAGAACAGUUUCAGGCGGGCAGUUUGACUGGGGCGGUCGCCUCCUAAACGGUAACGGAGGCGUACAAAGGUUUCCUCUGAACGGUUAGAAAUCGUAUCUAGAGUGUAAAGGCAUAAGGAAGCUUGACUGUGAGACCUACAAGUCGAGCAGGGACGAAAGUCGGUCUUAGUGAUCUGACGGUACUGAGUGGAAAGGCCGUCACUCAACGGAUAAAAGUUACUCUAAGGAUAACAGGCUGAUCUCCCCCAAGAGUUCACAUCGACGGGGAGGUUUGGCACCUCGAUGUCGGCUCAUCGCAUCCUGGGGCGGUAGUACGUCCCAAGGGUUGGGCUGUUCGCCCAUGAAAGCGGUACGCGAGCUGGGUUCAGAACGUCGUGAGACAGUUCGGUCCAUAUCCGGUGUAGGCGUUAGAAUAUUGAGAGGAGCCUUCCUUAGUACGAGAGGACCGAGAAGGACAUACCUCUGGUGUACCAGUUAUCGUGCCAACGGUAAACGCUGGGUAGCUAUGUAUGGAGUGGAUAACCGCUGAAAGCAUCUAAGUGGGAAGCCCACCUCAAGAUAAG
Molecule: ribosomal RNA, 1235 nt
Filed under: metagenome
Description: bacterial LSU rRNA
Rfam family: Bacterial large subunit ribosomal RNA
Source: RNAcentral